Molecule: non-coding RNA, 567 nt
Organism: Paramuricea clavata
Lineage: Eukaryota; Metazoa; Cnidaria; Anthozoa; Malacalcyonacea; Plexauridae
Source: the annotation of a GenBank genome assembly
AAAGUCUUCUAUAAUUCUUUUGUUUGGCCCUUUCAUUAAUUUUUUCAUUAUGACUUGGGAGUCUAUGAUAUCCGCGAGUCAGGAUGGAUUAUUACGAGAAAUGUUAUCAAAAUAUCGAUUACAGAUAUUUGAUUAUAUGUAUAUAUGAUUUCAAAUACUUCUAGUUACGAAAUCAAAUUGGUUUUUUUUUUGGUGGGGGCCAAAAUUAUCACCCCCCCUCUUAUAAAACACUUGGUUGAGGGCCUGUUGCCCCCUGCGGUCACUAACUUGUCCAACAACUCAAACUCUAUAGGGUCUGGGAAAUGCAAUCCACUCGGCCUGGGAAAUGUUUAAAAUCUAAUAAGGUAUUUAUUAAACAUAAAAGACAGGACAUAAGAUUCACAAAGCAAAUUUCAGUUACUAGAAUAUCAAACCUCCCUUCUAAAUUCCAUGUUUUGCUUAUAUUUUAGAGAAAAGGGACUUUGACUGGGGGGGCCAAAAUGGUUGGGUGGGGGGGCCACCAUGGGGGCUGGGGGGGCUUUGGCCCCCCCAGUUAUAUAGUUAAAAAAUGCCCUGCCCAAGUGCCAG